UGGACCAGUGAUGAUGUCUGAUGGCACAGGAGUCAUGGACGAUGAAAAAAUUUGUGUCUGAAACUCUGAGGUCCAA
Molecule: small nucleolar RNA, 76 nt
Organism: Balaenoptera musculus (blue whale)
Lineage: Eukaryota; Metazoa; Chordata; Mammalia; Artiodactyla; Balaenopteridae
Source: Ensembl